AACCUUGCCCAGUGGCAAUAUCGUAGUAACCAAUGAAGGCCUCCUGAGGUGCGAUUAUUGCUAGUUGAAAACUUUUACCUACCAUUAUAAGUAACAAUCCAAAAUAUGAACUGUUAUAUCUCUAAGGUACAAAAAUAC
RNAcentral lists this small nuclear RNA (138 nucleotides) under Rhodnius prolixus. Its description in RNAcentral is "U4 spliceosomal RNA". It matches the Rfam family "U4 spliceosomal RNA". From Rfam's summary of the family: U4 small nuclear RNA (U4 snRNA) is a component of the major U2-dependent spliceosome. The structure of U4 snRNA from yeast and human has been reported. The record is from Rfam by way of RNAcentral. Lineage: Eukaryota; Metazoa; Arthropoda; Insecta; Hemiptera; Reduviidae.